GAAGCAGGCCAGACUGCCGCUGCUUUCCGUCAAGGAAAGGAGAGGAAAGUCCGGGCUCCACAGAGCAGGGUGCCGGGUAACGCCCGGCCGCCAUACGCUGACGGUUCAACCGCAGCCAAAGCGAGGAACAGGGCCACAGAGACGAGUCGCCGUCCGCAUCCGUGCGGCGGCGGGUGAAACGCGGUAACCUCCACCCGGAGCAACGCCAAAUAGGCAGACGAUGACGCGGCUCGCGUAGUCUGCGGGUAGGCGGCUUGAGCGCGUCAGUGAUGACGCGCCUAGAGGAAUGGCAGUCACGUCUCGCCGGAAAUGCGUUUUCGGCAAGACGACAGAACCCGGCUUAUCGGCCUUGCUUCGCUU
This 360-nucleotide RNase P RNA is filed under the name Burkholderiales bacterium. RNAcentral's name for it is "RNase P RNA component class A". It matches the Rfam family "Bacterial RNase P class A". Rfam says of the family: Ribonuclease P (RNase P) is a ubiquitous endoribonuclease, found in archaea, bacteria and eukarya as well as chloroplasts and mitochondria. Its best characterised activity is the generation of mature 5'-ends of tRNAs by cleaving the 5'-leader elements of precursor-tRNAs. The record is from RNAcentral. Lineage: Bacteria; Pseudomonadati; Pseudomonadota; Betaproteobacteria; Burkholderiales.